Molecule: ribosomal RNA, 248 nt
Filed under: uncultured bacterium
Lineage: Bacteria
Description: partial 16S ribosomal RNA
Rfam family: Bacterial small subunit ribosomal RNA
Source: RNAcentral
GCUCGCGAGAGUAAGCUAAUCUCUUAAAGCCGUCUCAGUUCGGACUGUAGGCUGCAACUCGCCUACACGAAGUCGGAAUCGCUAGUAAUCGCGGAUCAGCAUGCCGCGGUGAAUACGUUCCCGGGCCUUGUACACACCGCCCGUCACACCAUGGGAGUUUGUAACGCCCAAAGUCGGUGGCCUAACCUUUAUGGAGGGAGCCGCCUAAGGCGGGACAGAUGACUGGAGUGAAGUCGUAACAAGGUAGC